Long non-coding RNA from Cyprinodon tularosa, 602 nucleotides. RefSeq lists it as uncharacterized. NCBI's taxonomy places the organism in Eukaryota, Metazoa, Chordata, Actinopteri, Cyprinodontiformes, Cyprinodontidae. The transcript is spliced from 4 exons. The record is from RefSeq and is a predicted model, not a curated record.
UAAAAUCAUGUUUUGUGGUUGAACAGUUUUAAAUCAUGUAGAUUUAGCAUAAAAUGCAACAACUUAAAAUUUACUUGAAUAAUUUAUGUUAAAACAACCUAAUUCUAAUGGGUUAAGAUUGCAAAUCAAUAACACUCCAAAGCAGUAGGUGGCAGUAAUGAGCACAUUCCCCUCUCUUGAAGGCCACGGUCAAAGGUGAGUGAGUCCCCGACUCUGGCUGGCAGAAGGAGUAGACAUUUUGAAAAGAAAUUUCAAGUGUGGAAGAAGCUAACUGCUGAAUUUAAGAGGAUUACAACCAUCAGUUUGCUGUCAAAGUUCUUCUCCCAGCUGGAUGCUCAUUCUUCAAACUUGAUGAGGGUGUUUGGCAAGAAAGGCGGCGUUCAAGGAAGAAAGAUAAGGAGCAUCAUGAUACCCAUCACCAAGACUGACGCCAUUGAUGUCAAAAGAGAGUGAAUCAUCAAAGCCCUGUGUGUGUACCUGAAUGAAGAGCCCGAGAACCUUGUGAAAGAAUACAUGAACACAGAUUGUGGGAGCAGUGAAGCUGCAGUGAUGGAGACGACAUUUGGAAUAUUUGUCAUUCGCAAGGAAGGUGCAGAGCCAGU